CCCAAACCCUUUGACAGUGCUUGCACGUAAAAAGAACUGGUAAGUGGUCCCAGGAUGUAAAUGUGAAAAGACGUGGUGUGUGCUGUUCCACAGUUUUGACACAGUUUGUGGAGGUCCUGCCACUGGGACCGCAGGAUCAAAUGACCGUAUACUGCUGUAGCUCACCUCGUACUGAGUAAUGAUGCCAUUUGGGUCCACAGGUUCUUUCCAGUUGAGGAAGAUCUUAUCUUCAAAAGGAGUUCCUUUCACUGACUUGGCAGGUAUAGGACCUGGAACAUCUUCGUCUGUCUGGAUAAUGGUCUCCUCGCUUUCCUUCCUCCCUUCUGGGUUGGUUAAGAUCAUUUUGAGGCUGACAUUUGUGUACGGAGGCAGAUGAUCCACAACAUGCUGGGG
This 393-nucleotide long non-coding RNA is filed under the name Gallus gallus (chicken). The record is from RNAcentral. Lineage: Eukaryota; Metazoa; Chordata; Aves; Galliformes; Phasianidae.